Molecule: ribosomal RNA, 253 nt
Filed under: uncultured bacterium
Lineage: Bacteria
Description: partial 16S ribosomal RNA
Rfam family: Bacterial small subunit ribosomal RNA
Source: RNAcentral
GACGAACCGUGCGACCGUUGUUCGGAUUCACUGGGCUUAAAGGGCGCGUAGGCGGCUUGCCAAGUCAGGGGUGAAAUCUUUCGGCUCAACCGGAAAAGUGCUUCUGAUACUGGCGGGCUGGAGGAGGGUAGGGGCGGGCGGAACUUCCGGUGGAGCGGUGAAAUGCGUAGAUAUCGGAAGGAACGCCGGUGGCGAAAGCGGCCCGCUGGACCCUUUCUGACGCUGAUGCGCGAAAGCCAGGGGAGCAAACGGG